AGGAAAAAUUUCUGGAAGUUUUCCCCUCUUUCUAAAGAAAAACUCUCUCAUGCUGCCUUUGCAAGCUGCUGUCAACAAUUUGGAUUCAGACUGCUGAGCCUAGAAGACAUGAGAAGACAGGGAUGGGUGGGCUCCUACAUGUCCUCACAGAACUCUCCAUACACACCAGACAGAUGAAGAAGUGUCACUGAAAGAAUGGUUGGGGACUGACAACCUCAGACAUUCUGUCUAGAACCAAACACGGACCUGAAUUACUCACAAUGGACUGAGCAUUCUGGGAUGAUAGGCACCACAGUUGUAGGCCACAACUGGGGUGGCAUGGCCAACUUAUAUCAUCAGUGCUUUGUUUCCAGGGAUCUGCAUGAGCCCUCAGGACUGUACUUAUUGUGAGGGUGCCCUAUCACAACACCACCUCAGCCCUGGAAGGUAUUCAGGUCAGCUUUAACUGAGGCCAGAGCUGUGCUGUGGCCAGGUUAAAAAAAUAUUCCUAAGGAACAAAGGCUGCCUGAGGGUCCUUCAGAAUUAAUGGGAUUUGUUUAAACAGACUAAAUCCAGGACUCCUAAAGGGCAUAAGUGAGAUCGAUAGUGCUGAUAGUGCUAAGUCGGGUCUCACCCUGCUGUAUGGGAUCCUACUGCCACCGGUCAAAGUGUAGAUUGUGUAGAAAAAAGUUAACAUAGCAAGUCAGACUGCUGUCCUUAGAAUGGCCUGCUUGCAAGUUUGGCCCUGGGCUGAUAAGAACUUCAUUUAGGAAGUGUUCACAGCCCUCUCUAAGUCAUAAAGGUGACUCACUGUCCCUAGGCUAUUUGUGCAAACAUAGUUUACACUGAAGGAGAAAGCACAAGGAAACCGGCAUGUGGUUUCCUUCAGAUUCUGCCUGUGUCCUUUUCUUUUAUAAUCUGGCUAUAUCCGUGUAGUAAUUCUUGGCCCUGAAUACAACUAUAUGCUGUUUCAUGAGACUUAGCAUAUCCCCAAGUGAGGGAUAUGAGGUGGUCUUGGGAUCUCCUAAAAAAAUCAACAUUAGAAAUCUCAUAUUCUUUAAUAUUAUUGAUGUUGCUAUUUAUGAAUUUGUUAUCUUGAAAUUUCAAUUACCUUGAUCACUGCUUUGAAAUUAAGGUUGAUGUGUUUGUAAAUAAGCACAUAUUAUCACAAAAAAAAUGUUUAAGACUCCUUACAAGGGUUAUUCUAUUACCUAUAAAUUAAUGGACAUGGAUGGGCCCUCAAUUUUAUCUAUGGACAAGGAAAAACUAGUUCUAUGGGUUAUAUUUAAGGAAGUUGUAGGAGGCAAGAAUAAAGUCACUUCAUAAUUUCAUGCCAUGCUAGUUCAAUGUGAUAGUUACCAAAACAGCAUAUGUAUAAACUUUCUGCAGCUAUAACCUCUCAUUAUAGAAUGUAAGUUUUUUGUGGAGCUUUAGUUCAAAUACAUAAUUGUGUACAGAAAACUGCCAAAAUGCAACUUUGAAAAUCUUUCUCACUUUCAGCUGACUUUCUGAUCAUAGAUCAUCCACCUCUUGGUUCCAGCUGGGCUGGGUGCAAAGUAAGUCUUCUACACAGCUUAUGGAAAUGGAAAUAAGUGCUAUAACAUUAAAUGUCACAAAUUACUUAUAAGAAAAAUUGUUGCUUAUGUUUUCUAGGUUUUAAUAAAUUUUGAAGUUACUUAA
RNAcentral lists this long non-coding RNA (1659 nucleotides) under Marmota monax (woodchuck). The record is from RNAcentral. Lineage: Eukaryota; Metazoa; Chordata; Mammalia; Rodentia; Sciuridae.